This 1430-nucleotide ribosomal RNA is filed under the name Klebsiella sp. L2. RNAcentral describes it as "bacterial SSU rRNA". It matches the Rfam family "Bacterial small subunit ribosomal RNA". The record is from RNAcentral. Lineage: Bacteria; Pseudomonadati; Pseudomonadota; Gammaproteobacteria; Enterobacterales; Enterobacteriaceae.
GGCCUAACACAUGCAAGUCGAGCGGUAGCACAGAGAGCUUGCUCUCGGGUGACGAGCGGCGGACGGGUGAGUAAUGUCUGGGAAACUGCCUGAUGGAGGGGGAUAACUACUGGAAACGGUAGCUAAUACCGCAUAAUGUCGCAAGACCAAAGUGGGGGACCUUCGGGCCUCAUGCCAUCAGAUGUGCCCAGAUGGGAUUAGCUAGUAGGUGGGGUAACGGCUCACCUAGGCGACGAUCCCUAGCUGGUCUGAGAGGAUGACCAGCCACACUGGAACUGAGACACGGUCCAGACUCCUACGGGAGGCAGCAGUGGGGAAUAUUGCACAAUGGGCGCAAGCCUGAUGCAGCCAUGCCGCGUGUGUGAAGAAGGCCUUCGGGUUGUAAAGCACUUUCAGCGGGGAGGAAGGCGGUGAGGUUAAUAACCUUGUCGAUUGACGUUACCCGCAGAAGAAGCACCGGCUAACUCCGUGCCAGCAGCCGCGGUAAUACGGAGGGUGCAAGCGUUAAUCGGAAUUACUGGGCGUAAAGCGCACGCAGGCGGUCUGUCAAGUCGGAUGUGAAAUCCCCGGGCUCAACCUGGGAACUGCAUUCGAAACUGGCAGGCUAGAGUCUUGUAGAGGGGGGUAGAAUUCCAGGUGUAGCGGUGAAAUGCGUAGAGAUCUGGAGGAAUACCGGUGGCGAAGGCGGCCCCCUGGACAAAGACUGACGCUCAGGUGCGAAAGCGUGGGGAGCAAACAGGAUUAGAUACCCUGGUAGUCCACGCCGUAAACGAUGUCGAUUUGGAGGUUGUGCCCUUGAGGCGUGGCUUCCGGAGCUAACGCGUUAAAUCGACCGCCUGGGGAGUACGGCCGCAAGGUUAAAACUCAAAUGAAUUGACGGGGGCCCGCACAAGCGGUGGAGCAUGUGGUUUAAUUCGAUGCAACGCGAAGAACCUUACCUGGUCUUGACAUCCACAGAACUUUCCAGAGAUGGAUUGGUGCCUUCGGGAACUGUGAGACAGGUGCUGCAUGGCUGUCGUCAGCUCGUGUUGUGAAAUGUUGGGUUAAGUCCCGCAACGAGCGCAACCCUUAUCCUUUGUUGCCAGCGGUUAGGCCGGGAACUCAAAGGAGACUGCCAGUGAUAAACUGGAGGAAGGUGGGGAUGACGUCAAGUCAUCAUGGCCCUUACGACCAGGGCUACACACGUGCUACAAUGGCAUAUACAAAGAGAAGCGACCUCGCGAGAGCAAGCGGACCUCAUAAAGUAUGUCGUAGUCCGGAUUGGAGUCUGCAACUCGACUCCAUGAAGUCGGAAUCGCUAGUAAUCGUAGAUCAGAAUGCUACGGUGAAUACGUUCCCGGGCCUUGUACACACCGCCCGUCACACCAUGGGAGUGGGUUGCAAAAGAAGUAGGUAGCUUAACCUUCGGGAGGGCGCUUACCACUUUGUGA